Molecule: ribosomal RNA, 473 nt
Filed under: uncultured bacterium
Lineage: Bacteria
Description: bacterial SSU rRNA
Rfam family: Bacterial small subunit ribosomal RNA
Source: RNAcentral
GACGAACGCUGGCGGCGUGCCUAAUACAUGCAAGUAGAACGCACAGUUUAUACCGUAGCUUGCUACACCAUAGACUGUGAGUUGCGAACGGGUGAGUAACGCGUAGGUAACCUGCCUGGUAGCGGGGGAUAACUAUUGGAAACGAUAGCUAAUACCGCAUAAUAUUAAUUAUUGCAUGAUAAUUAAUUGAAAGGUGCAAUUGCACCACUACCAGAUGGACCUGCGUUGUAUUAGCUAGUAGGUGAGGUAACGGCUCACCUAGGCGACGAUACAUAGCCGACCUGAGAGGGUGAUCGGCCACACUGGGACUGAGACACGGCCCAGACUCCUACGGGAGGCAGCAGUAGGGAAUCUUCGGCAAUGGACGAAAGUCUGACCGAGCAACGCCGCGUGAGUGAAGAAGGUUUUCGGAUCGUAAAGCUCUGUUGUAAGAGAAGAACGGGUGUGAGAGUGGAAAGUUCACACUGUGACGG